CUUAGGUAUAGUUGGGAACGAUGAUAAAUCUUAAGUUUCUAUUGUUUGAACAAGGAUACGUCAUUACAGAUCUAGGCAUCAGUGAGGAUGGGGGAAUUCCUAGGGAUGUUAGUGGUCAAGGUGUUUGAGGUAACCAUACAGUUGCAAAUAAGGUCGACAAAGGGGUCAAAGAACAAGCAAAAAGUUACUGUGAUUGAUGUAAGGAGAUGCAGUUCGAGUUGAUAAAGGUUGAGAACCCCUCUUAGAUGGGAUUGUGAAGAGGAAAGGAGUCGGCAGGAGGCCAAAGGGUUUUUAAGAACUUAAAGAAACUUCUAUCUAUAAUUGACCAAAUAGAGAAAAUGAAAGGUUGGAUUGUUAAUGGAGAAACACAAGUGAUGUUGAGGGAGUUUUAGGCAAAGAUUUUGUUGGUAAUAAUGAGGGCGAAAAAUGAUGGUCUUGGCAGUGCUCUUAGUAAUGAGCUUUCCGACGAAGUUAACCAAAAGGGUAGAUGAGGUCUACCAAAGGUUCAAAAAAUAAGAAACCUUCUGAUGAGAAAGGAUGCAGUAGGCCAAGGGGCUGAAGAAAAAUGCGCAACUGAAUGGUUCUGGCAAAGUAUAAAUUUAUUGUGAAAGUUCAACGUUCUAAAAUUUUUAGGAUUUCCAGUAGAUGGAGAAACCUCAAAUUUGAAUUGCACUGUAGUUUUGAAGGAAAUAGCACUUGAAUUGCACGAAAUCAUUUUUUUUUAUUUGGCUGUGGAAGUCAUGAUCAAUGUUCUAGUAGGUUUAACGCGAUCGAAAUUCUAUUUGCUAAAGGUAAAGACGUUUGCUAUUUUUGCUGCGAAGCGUUGUCACCACUGAAAUGCGAAAUCUGACGUCAACUAAAGUUAAAUUUCUCAUGCUGUUUGAUAUACAUGUAUAAAUAGUUGAGAUAUGUUUAUCGUUGUCUUGAAGAAUCUAAUUGGAGUAGAUUGAUUCUUAAGAAUACUGUA
Molecule: long non-coding RNA, 967 nt
Filed under: Olea europaea subsp. europaea
Lineage: Eukaryota; Viridiplantae; Streptophyta; Magnoliopsida; Lamiales; Oleaceae
Source: RNAcentral